Molecule: transfer RNA, 73 nt
Filed under: Myotis davidii
Lineage: Eukaryota; Metazoa; Chordata; Mammalia; Chiroptera; Vespertilionidae
Rfam family: tRNA
About the family: Transfer RNA (tRNA) molecules are approximately 80 nucleotides in length.
Source: Rfam by way of RNAcentral
GCUGGUGUGGUUCAGUGAAUAGAGCAUCAGCCUGCUGACUGAAGGGUCCCAGGUUCGAUUCCUGUUAACGGCA